CUGCUGCCUCCCGUAGGAGUUUGGGCCGUGUCUCAGUCCCAAUGUGGCCGUCCACCCUCUCAGGCCGGCUACUGAUCGUCGCCUUGGUGGGCCGUUACCCCGCCAACAAGCUAAUCAGACGCGGGUCCAUCUUACACCACCGGAGUUUUUCACACAAAUCCAUGCGGCUUCGUGCGCUUAUGCGGUAUUAGCACCUAUUUCUAAGUGUUAUCCCCCAGUGUAAGGCAGGUUACCCACGCGUUACUCACCCGUCGCCACUAAGAUUUUA
Molecule: ribosomal RNA, 268 nt
Filed under: uncultured bacterium
Lineage: Bacteria
Description: partial 16S ribosomal RNA
Source: RNAcentral